GCCUUUGAUGACACAAUGGUUUCAAAAGAGGCAAACUUUUGUCUAAUCUGUUGAUAUCUAACAUGAACUAGGAUGGUCUAAGGU
Zea mays is the source of this 84-nucleotide non-coding RNA. The record is from Rfam. NCBI's taxonomy places the organism in Eukaryota, Viridiplantae, Streptophyta, Magnoliopsida, Poales, Poaceae.